AUCGUAUAAGAGAGGGAGAGUAUUUAGUUCUUCGUUUGUAGAUCCAAAGUCCACCGAGAUAAUUUUUUCGCAAAUCAUCGUUGGAAUCUAUUUACUGGAACCAAUCCAAGUAUAAAGUACACGACACGUAAUCACAAGUUCGUCACAACAGCUUUGGCGAUCCUCGUGACCAGUGGUAAAAGCUACCAGCAUUUAUUUCUUUUGAAAGAAAAAUUUGAAGCACGAAAAUGUUGAAGGGCACUGUGGCUUUGGUAACUGGUGGUGCCUCUGGAUUGGGCCGUGGUACUGUGGAAAGAUUUGUCAAACAAGGUGCAAAAGUAAUUAUUGGCGAUUUGCCUGUUUCAAAGGGUAAAACCAUGGCCGAUGAAUUGGGAGAAGCCAAUGCAGUAUUUGCACCUAUGGAUGUAACUUCGGAAGCUGACGUUCAAGCUGCUCUUGAUCUUACGAAACAAAAAUUUGGGAAGCUUGACGUUCUCGUUAAUGCUGCCGGUAUCGCCAUAGCCUUUAAGACUUAUAACAGUAAUAAAAAACUUCCUCAUAAACUGGAGGAUUUUGCUAAAAUUAUUCAUGUGAACACUGUUGGCACCUUCAACGCUAUUCGUCUUUCUGCUGGCUUGAUGAUUGAAAACACACCUAAUCAAGAUGGUCAAAGAGGUGUAAUUGUUAAUACGGCGAGUGUUGCUGCUUUUGAUGGUCAAAUAGGUCAGGCUGCUUAUUCUGCUUCGAAAGGAGCAGUCGUAGGAAUGACCUUACCUAUCGCUCGCGAUCUUUCCAAGGAUGGAAUUCGUGUCGUAACAAUUGCUCCAGGAAUUUUCAAAACUCCGAUGUUAAUGGCGCUGCCAGAUAAAGUGCGCACCUAUUUGGCAAAAACCAUACCGUUUCCUCAGAGAUUGGGAGAACCUGAGGAGUACGCUAUGUUAGUACAGCAGAUUGUUGAAAAUACGAUGUUGAAUGGAGAGGUAAUUAGAUUGGAUGGUGCUUUACGAAUGCAAGCUUGAAGAACCAUCAGUUUUUCAUACCAAUAGAAUUACAGUAUCCAAGAUGAAUCUUACGUGGCUCUUUUUUAUACACGUAAAUGCAUGUAUAUAAUAUGCAAGAACUGCCCUCAACAAGUAUCAUCAUAACCUUGUAAUAGCCAACAUGUUGCAAACUAGAAAGCAAGAAGUAAUAAUUGUGAGCAAGGAGACCAACUACGUUUUAUCUCUUACAAAUGAACAAUUAGAUAAGGGCGAGGAAAUUGAACAAUUAAUCGUAAAUGAUCUCGUUGAAAAGCAUAGAAAGUUUAUACAAUCCAAAGAAGUUUGCUGAUCAGCUUAUUUCAAGCUGUAAAAUAUAUAGUCAAUUUUAUAUAUAAAAUAUGCAUUUUGAAAAGAUAAUUUUAUAGACACCACAAUUAGAAAAAUUUUGGUGAUAAUGGGGAUAAUACUCAGGUUCAAUAUACUAUAUUGUAUAUUAUACAUAUACUAUAUCAAUAUGCUAUAUGGUAUAUACAUAUCAGCACUGUAAAUGUACAUAAUUCAGUUAUCAGCACAAAUAUACGAUCACAUUUCUGUACAAAUUAUAAUAAACAGAAUGUCUGAACAAACUUAAA
RNA transcript from Solenopsis invicta (red fire ant), 1591 nucleotides. It is a transcript of the gene named 3-hydroxyacyl-CoA dehydrogenase type-2-like, with no coding region annotated. Lineage: Eukaryota; Metazoa; Arthropoda; Insecta; Hymenoptera; Formicidae. The transcript is spliced from 6 exons. The record is from RefSeq and is a predicted model, not a curated record.